Non-coding RNA from Macaca mulatta (Rhesus monkey), 1067 nucleotides. The record is from RefSeq and is a predicted model, not a curated record. NCBI's taxonomy places the organism in Eukaryota, Metazoa, Chordata, Mammalia, Primates, Cercopithecidae.
CCCUAGCUCCGCCCAGGCCCACGCCCCCAGGGCGCUUCAUGAAUAUGCAUGAGCCGGUGGAACCCGGGAGUUGGAAGCCCGUGCAGAAUUCGUCCCACCGUCGGCAAACAGGCGCGGCCCAGUACUCAAUUAUUCAUGAGGCUUGCAGAUGAGGGGCCCGCCCCAGGCUCAGACCGGGGCGAAACUGACGCAAUUCAGCCGGGGGCGCUCGGGUAAAAUGGACACCGAGACGACUGCCUAGAGAGACUGCCUUGGCGGCCCCUCCCGGGCCCCGCCGCCUGCACGGAGUGCAGUACCAUCGAGCUACGCCGGCAAGAAGGUAGCAGCCGGCGGACUGGAGCGGCUUCCUGGUACAGCCACCUGAGUGCUGAGAACGCGCGCAACGUGGCCACCCCUCCUGUGUCAAUUCAGAUUUAGAGCCACGGCUGCAACCACCACCACCCUACACACACGCUCAUCCUCCCCGACUCUCCAGGCUCACGUUUCCACUCCCCCGGCUGCGGGAAGGACAGUCAAUCCUGAUUUCAUUAUCUAAAGCCUUGGAAGACCCUUGACUCAUAGGUAAGGAUGGGGCCAAGAGCUGCCUCCCCCUAGCUUGGUUGGCUAAUGGAGUGUAACCGGGAGAGACUUCCUAAUCACAUCAGCUCUCAUUUCUAGAUUCUCAGGUGGCCCAUCCGGGCAGAGGCGGGUGAAAACCAAUGCUUCUCCAGCCGGGAACAGAACAGGAUGUGCCUCGAGACUUGCUUCCCGGCUGGCCAGGCUCUGCCUAGUCUGACCAGGGCAGUAACCACCACCAGUAAAAGUAGGAGCAACAAACCAGGGCUACAAAGAAAGCAUAAAGACAUGGUUUCCAAAGUCAGUUCCCUUUAUUAAAUCAUUUUCACAGACCAGAAAUACAAAAUAAAAGUAGAAAUAGGCCCCAGGUAGGAGCUACAGGCCUGGCCUCACAUGACCCCUGCUCCAGCAACUUGAACAGGACCAGCAGCAGCUACAUCCUUAAUUAAGGUCGGGAAAGUAAGAUGAGGAUUUUGAUCCUGCAUUGCCCUGCCUCCCACCCUCUCUCUCCC